RNAcentral lists this ribosomal RNA (459 nucleotides) under uncultured bacterium. Its description in RNAcentral is "partial 16S ribosomal RNA". It matches the Rfam family "Bacterial small subunit ribosomal RNA", at positions 338 to 795 of the family's 1533-position model. The record is from RNAcentral.
CCUACGGGUGGCAGCAGUGAGGAAUAUUGGUCAAUGGGAGAGAUUCUGAACCAGCCAUGCCGCGUGAGUGAAGACGGCCCUAUGGGUUGUAAACUUCUUUUGUCGGAGAAAAAAACCCGGGACGUGUCCCGGACUGCGCGUAUCCGAAGAAAAAGCAUCGGCUAACUCCGUGCCAGCAGCCGCGGUAAUACGGAGGAUGCGAGCGUUAUCCGGUUUUAUUGGGUUAAAGGGGUGCGUAGGCGGUCCGUUAAGUUAGCGGUAAAAUGGCGGGGCUCAACCCCGUCGAGCCGUUGAAACUGGCAGACUUGAGUGGGCGAGAAGUACGCGGAAUGCGCGGUGUAGCGGUGAAAUGCAUAGAUAUCGCGCAGAACUCCGAUUGCGAAGGCAGCGUACCGGCGCCAGACUGACGCUGAGGCACGAAAGCGUGGGGAGCGAACAGGAUUAGAUACCCGUGUAGUC